RNAcentral lists this ribosomal RNA (420 nucleotides) under Centaurium pulchellum. RNAcentral describes it as "eukaryotic LSU rRNA". The stretch from base 280 to 420 matches the Rfam family "Eukaryotic large subunit ribosomal RNA", at positions 1 to 141 of the family's 3401-position model. The record is from RNAcentral. Lineage: Eukaryota; Viridiplantae; Streptophyta; Magnoliopsida; Gentianales; Gentianaceae.
GUUGCGCCCGAAGCCAUUAGGCCAAGGGCACGUCUGCCUGGGCGUCACGCAUCGCGUCGCCCCCAACCCCCCGUGCACCGUAUGGUCCGGGUGGUAGCUUGGGGCGGAGACUGGUCUCCCGUGCAGUGCGCGGCUGGCCUAAAUGCGAGUCACUCGCGACGGACGCGACAACAAGUGGUGGUUGAUUACCUCAACUGAAGUUCUGUCGUUGCGGCCCCGUCGAAGGAGGAGACUGACCCGACCCUGUAGCACGUGUCGUCACGACGCAUGCAACGACCGCGACCCCAGGUCAGGCGGGACUACCCGCUGAGUUUAAGCAUAUCAAUAAGCGGAGGAAAAGAAACUAACAAGGAUUCCCUUAGUAACGGCGAGCGAACCGGGAACAGCUCAAGCUUAAAAUCAGUCGACUUUGUCGUCUGA